This is a long non-coding RNA of Equus quagga, 567 nucleotides long. RefSeq lists it as uncharacterized. The transcript is spliced from 4 exons. The record is from RefSeq and is a predicted model, not a curated record. NCBI's taxonomy places the organism in Eukaryota, Metazoa, Chordata, Mammalia, Perissodactyla, Equidae.
CCCCCUUCCCAGGGCAGGUGACUGGCUCACAGCAGUGGGGAUAGGACAGAUUGAGCCCAACCCUUCAGUCUUAUGCCCCUGGACCCGCCGCUGGAGGUCACUUAUUCUCCAGAGUGGAUCCAAAGCUCUCAGGAUGGAUGAACCAAGAUAGGGGUAAUUUGAAAACAUAAGGCUGAAGGACACCAGUGUCAACUCAGGCCAUCUCCAGGAUGUUGAAGUCGGCAGGGGAGGGAGCAGGAUUUAACAGCUGGUGUCUAAGUGUCUUGGAACUCUUUGCAAGUGAGGGCCUGUGGACCAUGCGCGUGCCCAAAGGAGCGAGGAUGUGUGAAGUUUAGAACAUGCCUGGCUCUGAGAGUUACCACCCUCGCUGGGCCUGGCUUUCUCUCCCCGUGCUGUGGGUGUAAGCUGCCCUGCCUCCCGUGAGUGGGUAGCCAUGAGUCUCAGAUGUGGACCUGCUGUGAAUGCUGGAAAACACCGUAUGGAUCGGAGAGUACUGUCAUAAGAAAGACUCUCAAUUGUGAACUAAACUGAAUUGGACAAUAAUAAUAAACAAAAAGUAUAACAACA